This 808-nucleotide ribosomal RNA is filed under the name uncultured Staphylococcus sp. Its description in RNAcentral is "bacterial SSU rRNA". It matches the Rfam family "Bacterial small subunit ribosomal RNA", at positions 45 to 836 of the family's 1533-position model. The record is from RNAcentral. Lineage: Bacteria; Bacillati; Bacillota; Bacilli; Caryophanales; Staphylococcaceae.
CGCAUAUACAUGCAGUCGAGCGAACGGACGAGAAGCUUGCUUCUCUGAUGUUAGCGGCGGACGGGUGAGUAACACGUGGAUAACCUACCUAUAAGACUGGGAUAACUUCGGGAAACCGGAGCUAAUACCGGAUAAUAUUUUGAACCGCAUGGUUCAAAAGUGAAAGACGGUCUUGCUGUCACUUAUAGAUGGAUCCGCGCUGCAUUAGCUAGUUGGUAAGGUAACGGCUUACCAAGGCAACGAUGCAUAGCCGACCUGAGAGGGUGAUCGGCCACACUGGAACUGAGACACGGUCCAGACUCCUACGGGAGGCAGCAGUAGGGAAUCUUCCGCAAUGGGCGAAAGCCUGACGGAGCAACGCCGCGUGAGUGAUGAAGGUCUUCGGAUCGUAAAACUCUGUUAUUAGGGAAGAACAUAUGUGUAAGUAACUGUGCACAUCUUGACGGUACCUAAUCAGAAAGCCACGGCUAACUACGUGCCAGCAGCCGCGGUAAUACGUAGGUGGCAAGCGUUAUCCGGAAUUAUUGGGCGUAAAGCGCGCGUAGGCGGUUUUUUAAGUCUGAUGUGAAAGCCCACGGCUCAACCGUGGAGGGUCAUUGGAAACUGGAAAACUUGAGUGCAGAAGAGGAAAGUGGAAUUCCAUGUGUAGCGGUGAAAUGCGCAGAGAUAUGGAGGAACACCAGUGGCGAAAGGCGACUUUCUGGUCUGUAACUGACGCUGAUGUGCGAAAGCGUGGGGAUCAAACAGGAUUAGAUACCCUGGUAGUCCACGCCGUAAACGAUGAGUGCUAAGUGUUAGGGGGUUUCCG